GGCAACCCGCUCGGGUUCCUUUCCUCAUGGUGGAAGGUUUGUUUUUUGCUCUUUGCAAUAAAUCUUGCUACUGCUAACUCUUUGGGUCCACACUGCUUUUAUGAGCUGUAACACUCACCGGGAAGAUCUGCAGCUUCGCUCCUGAGUCAGCGAGACCACGAACCCACCAGAAGGAAGAAACUCUGAACACAUCCGAACAUCAGAAGGAACAAACUCCAGACGCACCACCUUAAGAGCUGUAACACUCACCGCGAGGGUCCACAGCUUUAUUCUUGAAGUCAGUGAGACCAAGAAUCCACCAAUUCCGGACACAAUUAAGGAAGAUAAGAGUAUCACAAGGAUAACCUCUGUGAGUAGAGCAUGGCUUAUCUUCUUGGCCUAUUGAAGAUUUCAUCAAAGGUAUUUAGAUCCUAAAUCAUUGGUGAAUUCUGGAAUCUGAAAAAUAAAGAGAGAUUUGCAACAACCAAGGAAAUUCUCAGUGAAAAAAGAAGCUGCUAAAGUUUGGUGAGAGAGCAUGGCAACACUUUCCCACCUAUUAUCAUCCACUCCAAAGCCCAGGGGUGACCUUGGGGAAAGGGAUCCACAUUCCUCGUGCAGCUUGGUGGUGCCAGAGAGGGCUGAGGCAGCCUUUUGGGUGAAGUUUCUUGAAAACAUCCAAAGGCAAAAAUACUGGCCCCACCACCCUGAGACAAGCAGCAGACAGACUGGAGGCCCGGGAAGGAAGAAGCUAAGGAAGGAAAUACAUAAGUGAAAAAGAAUUUCCCAUAAAAAAGAAUUUCCACAAAUUCUAGAAAAUCUAUAAGGUCAUGCACAUGCCCACGGUUGGAAAUAUGCUCAGAGAAAACUCUGUAAACCAAAAGUAUCUGAGACACGUCUCAAUCAAUAUAGAAGCUUCGGUAGUCAAAAGAGUUUGAUAUUGGUAUAAGUAUAGACAUAAAUAGAUAAAUAGAAUUAAUUAAUAGUCUGUAAGUAAACCCAUAGAUAUGUGAUAUCGAUAUGUAAUCAGUUGGUUUUUGGCAAUGGUACCAACACACCAACACCAUUGCCUUGUCGGGGGGAAACAAUAGUCUCUUUAACAAAUGGUGAUGGAAAAAUUUGAUAUCUUCAUGAAAAAAAUUAAGUUAGACUUUUACCUCACACCAAAUAUAGAACAAUUCAAAAUCAAUCAAAAGCCUAAAUAUCAAAGCUAAAAGUAUAAAACUGAUAGAAUAAAACAUACGGAUACAUCUUCAGGACUUUAGAUUUGGCAAUUAUUUCUUAGAUAUGACACACAAAGCACAAUCAACAAAAACAAAGUAUACAAGUUCGACAUUUUUAAAAUUUAACAUGUUUGUGCAUUAAAAAAUACCAUCAACAGAGUGAUAAGACAAACUACCAGAGACAAAAUAUUCAUAAGUUAUGUAU
Molecule: long non-coding RNA, 1404 nt
Filed under: Homo sapiens (human)
Lineage: Eukaryota; Metazoa; Chordata; Mammalia; Primates; Hominidae
Description: HSALNT0349176
Source: RNAcentral